GACGAACGCUGGCGGCGUGCUUAACACAUGCAAGUCGAACGGAAAGGCCCCUUCGGGGGUACUCGAGUGGCGAACGGGUGAGUAACACGUGAGUAACCUGCCCUUGACUUCGGGAUAACUUCAGGAAACUGGGGCUAAUACCGGAUAGGAAUCCUUGCUGCAUGGUGGGGGUUGGAAAGCUUCGGCGGUUUUGGAUGGACUCGCGGCUUAUCAGCUUGUUGGUGGGGUAGUGGCUUACCAAGGCUUUGACGGGUAGCCGGCCUGAGAGGGCGACCGGCCACAUUGGGACUGAGAUACGGCCCAGACUCCUACGGGAGGCAACAGUGGGGAAUAUUGCACAAUGGGCGGAAGCCUGAUGCAGCAACGCCGCGUGCGGGAUGACGGCCUUCGGGUUGUAAACCGCUUUCAGCAGGGGCGAAGCUUGUGGUGACGGUACCUGCAGAAGAAGCACCGGCUAACUACGUG
RNAcentral lists this ribosomal RNA (465 nucleotides) under uncultured bacterium. Its description in RNAcentral is "partial 16S ribosomal RNA". It matches the Rfam family "Bacterial small subunit ribosomal RNA", at positions 28 to 507 of the family's 1533-position model. The record is from RNAcentral.